UUUAAUCCUUCAAUGGUGAAACCCUAGGAAGCUUUAGGGAUUUCCUGAAAUCGCAGGGUUCGCGCCGCGAACCACCCUUCGCGCCGCGAACUGUGAAUACCAACAGCCAUUUUCUUUUUGAUUGUUGACUAAUGCUGUCAUAUGUGUUUUGUGGUUGUGCUGGUUUUGAUUGCAGAUGUCUAAGAGAACUAAGACCACAG
Molecule: long non-coding RNA, 200 nt
Filed under: Lathyrus oleraceus (garden pea)
Lineage: Eukaryota; Viridiplantae; Streptophyta; Magnoliopsida; Fabales; Fabaceae
Description: Pisum sativum (pea) long non-coding RNA (PSAT_LNC002625)
Source: RNAcentral